GGUCUCGUAGUGUAGCUGUUAACACGCCUGCCUGUCACGCAGGAGAUCGCGGGUUCGAUUCCCGUCGAGACCGCCA
RNAcentral lists this transfer RNA (76 nucleotides) under Staphylococcus aureus. RNAcentral's name for it is "tRNA-Asp". It matches the Rfam family "tRNA". From Rfam's summary of the family: Transfer RNA (tRNA) molecules are approximately 80 nucleotides in length. The record is from RNAcentral. Lineage: Bacteria; Bacillati; Bacillota; Bacilli; Caryophanales; Staphylococcaceae.